Molecule: ribosomal RNA, 216 nt
Filed under: Glomeromycotina sp.
Lineage: Eukaryota; Fungi; Glomeromycota
Description: partial small subunit ribosomal RNA
Rfam family: Eukaryotic small subunit ribosomal RNA (bases 40-216)
Source: RNAcentral
GGGUCAGUAGGUUGGUCGUGCCACCGGUACGUACUGGUCUCACUGAUUCCUCCUUCCUGAAGAACCGUAAUGCCAUUAAUUUGGUGUUGCGGGGAAGCAGGACUGUUACUUUGAAAAAAUUAGAGUGUUUAAAGCAAGCUAACGCUUGAAUACGUUAGCAUGGAAUAAUGAAAUAGGACGAUCGAUCCUAUUUUGUUGGUUUCUAGGAUUGACGUA